ACAGGUGCUGCAUGGCUGUCGUCAGCUCGUGCCGUGAGGUGUUGGGUUAAGUCCCGCAACGAGCGCAACCCUUAUCAUUAGUUGCCAACAGGUGAAGCUGGGAACUCUAAUGAGACUGCCUGGGUUAACCAGGAGGAAGGUGAGGAUGACGUCAAGUCCGCAUGGCCCUUAUGUCUGGGGCUACACACGUGCUACAAUGGUCGGUACAGAAGGCAGCGAAACCGCGAGGUGAAGCAAAUCCAACAAAGCCGAUCUCAGUUCAGAUUGUAGUCUGCAACUCGACUACAUGAAGACGGAAUUGCUAGUAAUGGCGAGUCAGCAACAUCGCCGUGAAUACGUUCCCGGGUCUU
This 350-nucleotide ribosomal RNA is filed under the name uncultured Candidatus Protochlamydia sp. RNAcentral's name for it is "bacterial SSU rRNA". It matches the Rfam family "Bacterial small subunit ribosomal RNA", at positions 1034 to 1382 of the family's 1533-position model. The record is from RNAcentral. Lineage: Bacteria; Pseudomonadati; Chlamydiota; Chlamydiia; Parachlamydiales; Parachlamydiaceae.